This 463-nucleotide ribosomal RNA is filed under the name uncultured bacterium. RNAcentral describes it as "partial 16S ribosomal RNA". It matches the Rfam family "Bacterial small subunit ribosomal RNA", at positions 28 to 507 of the family's 1533-position model. The record is from RNAcentral.
GAUGAACGCUGGCGGCGUGCUUAACACAUGCAAGUCGAACGGAAAGGCCCAAGCUUGCUUGGGUACUCGAGUGGCGAACGGGUGAGUAACACGUGGGUGAUCUGCCCUGCACUUCGGGAUAAGCCUGGGAAACUGGGUCUAAUACCGGAUAGGACCACUUCGUAGUUGUUGUGGUGGAAAGUUUUUUCGGUGUGGGAUGAGCUCGCGGCCUAUCAGCUUGUUGGUGGGGUAAUGGCCUACCAAGGCGUCGACGGGUAGCCGGCCUGAGAGGGUGUACGGCAACAGUGGGACGGAGCGACGGCGACGACUACGGGGGGCAGCAGUAGUGGGGAAUAUUGAACAGUGGGAAGAAGCAUGAUGCAGCGACGCGGCGUGGAGGAUGACGGCCUUGGUGUUGUAAACUCCUUUCGGUAAAGACGAAUUUAGGAUGGUAUUUGGAGAAGAAGCACCGGCUAACUACGUG